AGCUUUGCGUAGUGGCAGUAUCGUAGCCAAUGAGGUUUAUCCGAGGCACAAUUAUUGCUAAUUGAAAAAAAAAAAUGACCACUAAACUGAAUUUUACGUUAAUCGU
This 106-nucleotide small nuclear RNA is filed under the name Capra hircus (goat). RNAcentral's name for it is "U4 spliceosomal RNA (ENSCHIG00010025365.1)". It matches the Rfam family "U4 spliceosomal RNA". Rfam says of the family: U4 small nuclear RNA (U4 snRNA) is a component of the major U2-dependent spliceosome. The structure of U4 snRNA from yeast and human has been reported. The record is from RNAcentral. Lineage: Eukaryota; Metazoa; Chordata; Mammalia; Artiodactyla; Bovidae.